UACGUAGGGUGCGAGCGUUGUCCGGAAUUAUUGGGCGUAAAGGGCUCGUAGGCGGUCUGUCGCGUCGGGAGUGAAAACUCAGGGCUUAACCCUGAGCCUGCUUCCGAUACGGGCAGACUAGAGGUAUGCAGGGGAGAACGGAAUUCCCGGUGUAGCGGUGAAAUGCGCAGAUAUCGGGAGGAACACCGGUGGCGAAGGCGGUUCUCUGGGCCUUACCUGACGCUGAGGAGCGAAAGCGUGGGGAGCGAACAGG
RNAcentral lists this ribosomal RNA (253 nucleotides) under uncultured bacterium. RNAcentral's name for it is "partial 16S ribosomal RNA". It matches the Rfam family "Bacterial small subunit ribosomal RNA", at positions 524 to 776 of the family's 1533-position model. The record is from RNAcentral.